Molecule: small RNA, 155 nt
Filed under: Gopherus agassizii (Agassiz's desert tortoise)
Lineage: Eukaryota; Metazoa; Chordata; Testudines; Testudinidae
Description: TUC338 (ENSGAGG00000014224.1)
Source: RNAcentral
CUGACAGCACAGAAAAGUCUUGUUCACAGAACAGGAACAGCAUAAGCAGCUACAGCACAGGCUUCCGCACACUGCUCUGCCUCUGUGCCUCAACCCUGACCUGGAAGUUCAAUAUCCAUGCCAACUCAAUCAUUGCCCUUCCCCAGGAGGCUAUU